GAGGCAGGAUCUCACUCUCUUGCCCCAGGCUGGAGUACAGUGGUACCAUCAUUGCUCACUGCAGCAGCCUCAGACUCCCGGACUCAAGUGAUCCUCCUGCCUCAGCCUCCUGAGUAGCUAGCACUACAGGUGAGCACCAACAUGCCUGCCUCAUUUUUUAAAUUUUUUUGUAGAGACAACGUCUCAAUAUGUUGCCCAGGCUGGUCUCAAACUCCUGGCCUCACCUCGAGCAAUCCUUCCACCUCUGCACACCGAAGUGCUGAGAUUUCAAGUAUGAGCCGCUGCCUCCUGCCCACUUAGCCCUUUCUAACACUAGAGAACUUUGAGAGUGGUUUCAAUACCAACUGGACACUUCCCAGCGGUUUAACCUCAGGCAAAUCAAACUCCCAUGCCUCAGUUUCCACAUAUAUAGAGAUAAUAAAAGUACCUCCUCAAAGAGUUUGUUAUGAGAACUAAAUGAGUUAAUGUUAGGCAAGCGACUGGAACAUGAUAGACACAAUAUGUAUUAGCCAUUAUCACCUUUAUCUCAGUGUUAUAUUGGCCACCACCCAGAGAUACCCAGGAGCACACACAUCACAUUCUUUCUACAGCAAUAUGUGGGCACGAUUACUUCAUGACCACUGAAUCUAAAACAGCACAGCUUGGUAAGACACAGCGGUCGGAUCCCACCUACUGCAACACCUCUAAGAGGCGACCCUCACAAACCAGCCAUGCUUAGCCUGAGACAUUCCGAAGACCUCCUCUUGAUUACCUUACUCGACGAACUUAUUCCUUUGAAAAUGGAACUAGCCGCACUUUUGGACCAGUGUGCCUCGGAUACACUUCCAAAUGUGUCAACCUGAAUCUCAGAAGUUGGCGUGAUUUUAAAAAGUUUUUUAAGUUCUUUUUCCUAAACAUGUCCUAGUAGGUGACUCCACAGCAUUACUUUCUUUCAUGUUCUCUUUUCUAUCUGGAAAUCCGGUGAUAGGGGACGAAACCAGCAAAGCACCCUUUUUCUUGCUUCCCAAACGUUAGCAGGUAAGCGCCCCUUGAGCCGAGACACAUCAAGAAGACCUCACCCGCAAGUUCAUUGAUCACCGGUUCUUUUCCCUUUCCGGCACUAGGAGCUGCGAAGCACGACAUGGGCUUGGAGGAAGAGACGCUGCGGUCACCUGAGGGGCAGGUGAGAGCGGGCGGUCCUGCCCGGGUGUGAGCGCGACAUCCCGCGCGGCACACACGCUCACAGCCCCCAGAGAAAGGGAGGGAGAGCGCACCGCGCGACCGGCCGCCACAGUCU
RNAcentral lists this long non-coding RNA (1276 nucleotides) under Homo sapiens (human). Its description in RNAcentral is "non-protein coding lnc-WRNIP1-3:1". The record is from RNAcentral. Lineage: Eukaryota; Metazoa; Chordata; Mammalia; Primates; Hominidae.